CCCGCCCGGCGCCCUCUAGGCUGGAAGGCUGCUGGCGUCCUACCGGUGCCAGCACUGCCAGAACGGGAGGAGCGCGGCGCGGGCCAGCCAGGACUGCUGGACAGCGGGGUCCAGGCUAGAGGGGAGCGGUCAGUGACGGCUGUGGAGGAGGUCCACCUCCUAACAAAUUAUUGGAAGGAAUAUGAGAAAAAUGGAGUUUCACUCUUGUCACCCAGGCUGGAGUGCAAUGGAGUGAUCAUGGCUCACUGCAACCUCUGCCUCCCGGGUUCAAGCGAUUCUCCUGCCUCAGCCUCUCAAGUAGCUGGGAUUACAAGUGCCCACCACCACGCCCAGCUAAUUUUUGUAUUUUUAGUAGAGAUGGGGUUUUACCACGUUGGCCAGGCUGGUCUCCAACUCUUGACCUCAUGUGAUUCACCACCUCAGCCUCCCAAAGUGCUGGGAUUACAGGCGUGAGCCACUGUGCCCGGCCUAUACCUAUAUUUUCUUCUGUGAUUUUAAUAUUUUAGUGUUUAUGUUUUGGUCUAUGAUCCAUUUUGAGUAAAUUUUUGUAUUUGAUAUAAGGUAGGGGUCAACUUUAUUUAUUUAUUUAUUUAUUUAUUUUUGAGACGGAGUCUCGCUCUGUCGCCCAGGCUGGAGUGCAGUGGCGCGAUCUCGGCUCACUGCAAGCUCCGCCUCCCGGGUUCACGCCAUUCUCCUGCCUCAGCCUCUCCGAGUAGCUGGGACUACAGGCGCCCGCCACCACGCCCGGCUAAUUUUUUUUGUAUUUUUAGUAGAGACGGGGUUUCACUGUGGUCUCGAUCUCCUGACCUCGUGAUCCGCCCGCCUCGGUCUCCCAGAGUGCUGUGAUUACAAGCGUGAGCCACCGCGCCCGGCCAACUUUAUUUAUUUUUGAGAUGGAGGCUUACUCUGUUGCCCAGGCUGGCAUGCAAUGGUGCGAUCCAGCUCACUGCAACCUCUGUGUCCCAAGUUCAAGUGAUUCUCCCACCUCAGCCAUCUGAGUAGCUGGGAUUACAGGCCCCAUCACUAUGGUAAUUUUUAAAUUUUUAGUAGAGACGGGGUUUCACCAUGUUGGCCAGGCUGGUCUCAAACUCCUGACCUCAAGUGAU
This is a long non-coding RNA of Symphalangus syndactylus (siamang), 1106 nucleotides long. RefSeq lists it as uncharacterized. Lineage: Eukaryota; Metazoa; Chordata; Mammalia; Primates; Hylobatidae. The record is from RefSeq and is a predicted model, not a curated record.